This 468-nucleotide ribosomal RNA is filed under the name uncultured bacterium. Its description in RNAcentral is "partial 16S ribosomal RNA". It matches the Rfam family "Bacterial small subunit ribosomal RNA", at positions 28 to 507 of the family's 1533-position model. The record is from RNAcentral.
GACGAACGCUGGCGGCGUGCUUAACACAUGCAAGUCGAACGGAAAGGCCCUGCUUUUGUGGGGUGCUCGAGUGGCGAACGGGUGAGUAACACGUGAGUAACCUGCCCUUGACUUUGGGAUAACUUCAGGAAACUGGGGCUAAUACCGGAUAGGAGCUCCUGCUGCAUGGUGGGGGUUGGAAAGUUUCGGCGGUUGGGGAUGGACUCGCGGCUUAUCAGCUUGUUGGUGGGGUAGUGGCUUACCAAGGUUUUGACGGGUAGCCGGCCUGGGAGGGUGACCGGCGACAUUGGGACUGAGGGACGGACCAGACGCCUACGGGAGGCAGCGGUGGGGAGUAUUACGCAGUGGGCGGGAGCCUGAUGCGGCAGCGCCGCGUGCGGAAUGACGGCCUUCGGGUUGUGAACCGCUUUCGCCUGUGACGAAGCGUGAGUGACGGUAAUGGGUAAAGAAGCACCGGCUAACUACGUG